GGGUCAAAAGUGCUCCUGGAUUUAACCAACAGAGAAACAGGAGAUACUGCCUUGCACAAAGCGGCCUCUCGGAAGCAUCACGCUGUGUGUCGUCUUCUCAUGGACUCCGGAGCUUCCCUCAUCAAGACCAACUUCAAGGGUAAGACCCCAGUAGAGCAAGCUCGUGAUGCGGGGGACCAAGAGCUGGCCUCCUACCUGACCGGCAAACAGCUCCCUACCACUGUCUCCCACGAAGAUCUAGAGACUGCUGUAUGAGAGAGAGAGAGAAGAGAAGAGAGAGAGGGAGAGAGAAGACUUCACAUGGAGAGAGGGGAGGACAGAGAGAAGAGGAUGAGAGAUGGAGGAGAGAGGUAAGCCCCCUUCACCUCCAUAGAUUGACUGAGGGAUGGACAGAUGGAUGGACAGAUGGAUGGACAGACAGGAGCAGCCUGACGCGCUUUAGACUCUGUUCUAUCCUGCACAGGAAAAUGUUUCAUCUAAAUUAUUGUUUAUUAUUGCUUUUAUUUAUUUAUUGAUUGAUUGUAAACGUAUGGGAGUGUUGGGGUAUGGAGUUGCCUGUUGUUCACUGAAUGCCACGGUCUGGGCUAGGUUAGGGUUCAGGGGGUUAGGGGUCAGGGAUCAGAGGUGAGGGUUUGCAGACACACAGAACCUCUCUCAGUGCGGCCCUGCAGCCUUACAUACUGUACCAACGCGGUUCAACCACGGUUAAACCGCGUACAUAGUUUCAAUGUAUGUAUUUCCCAGAAAGCCUUUGUGAAUCAUUCAGACGUGUGCCAACAACACGCAGCACUGUGAGGCAGGGACAGCACCCCGCACCCUCCAUACUACUACCACUGCUACAUUAGGAUACCACUACUGCUAUCCCAACAACACUGCUCGGCUUGUAGACAACCAAUUCUAAGCCUCCACAACCCCCCCUGGAGGCCAGUAUGGGACUGAGAUGAGUGGACAGACAGCUAGGCAGACAAAGAAAAGAGACGGACUGAUUCUUCAUGCAGCCCCGGGGACCCAUUACACACCUGACCUAGAGCUCUACCCGAGCAGCAUGGACAUACCUACGGAAUGUGUGUGUGUGUGUGUGUGUGUUUGUGUGUUCAGUUCUUUUAGACUUGCGUGCAUAUGCGUGUUUGUGUGAUGCAGAGACAGAGGGGGAGUGUGUGUGUGUGUGUGUGUGUGUGUGUGUGUGUGUG
This is a long non-coding RNA of Oncorhynchus gorbuscha (pink salmon), 1190 nucleotides long. RefSeq lists it as uncharacterized. NCBI's taxonomy places the organism in Eukaryota, Metazoa, Chordata, Actinopteri, Salmoniformes, Salmonidae. The record is from RefSeq and is a predicted model, not a curated record. The transcript is spliced from 3 exons.